This 323-nucleotide ribosomal RNA is filed under the name uncultured bacterium. RNAcentral's name for it is "bacterial SSU rRNA". It matches the Rfam family "Bacterial small subunit ribosomal RNA", at positions 30 to 334 of the family's 1533-position model. The record is from RNAcentral.
AUUGAACGCUGGCGGCAGGCUUAACACAUGCAAGUCGAACGGUAACAGGAAAUAGCUUGCUAUUUUGCUGACGAGUGGCGGACGGGUGAGUAAUGCUUGGGAAUAUGCCUUAGGGUGGGGGACAACAGUUGGAAACGACUGCUAAUACCGCAUAACGUGCUUCUUAUAAUGAGGAGUACCAAAGAGGGGGCUCUUCGGACCUCUCGCCAUUUGAUUAGCCCAAGUGAGAUUAGCUAGUUGGUAAGGUAAAGGCUUACCAAGGCGACGAUCUCUAGCUGGUUUGAGAGGAUGAUCAGCCACACUGGGACUGAGACACGGCCCAG